CGGCAACAGCUCAAAUUUGAAAUCUGGCCUUACGGUCCGAGUUGUAAUUUGUAGAGGAUGUUUCGGGUACCGCUGUGGUCUAAAUUUCUUGGAACAGGAUGUCAGAGAGGGUGAGAAUCCCGUCUGCGACCGCGGUAGGGCCUAUGUGAAACUCCUUCGAC
This 161-nucleotide ribosomal RNA is filed under the name Ceramothyrium melastoma. Its description in RNAcentral is "partial large subunit ribosomal RNA". It matches the Rfam family "Eukaryotic large subunit ribosomal RNA", at positions 99 to 261 of the family's 3401-position model. The record is from RNAcentral. Lineage: Eukaryota; Fungi; Ascomycota; Eurotiomycetes; Chaetothyriales; Chaetothyriaceae.